GGGCGGUUAACUCAGUGGUAGAGUGCCACCUUCACACGGUGGAAGUCACAAGUUCGAACCUUGUACCGCCCACCA
RNAcentral lists this transfer RNA (75 nucleotides) under Alcaligenes faecalis. RNAcentral's name for it is "tRNA-Val". It matches the Rfam family "tRNA". From Rfam's summary of the family: Transfer RNA (tRNA) molecules are approximately 80 nucleotides in length. Their secondary structure includes four short double-helical elements and three loops (D, anti-codon, and T loops). Further hydrogen bonds mediate the characteristic L-shaped molecular structure. tRNAs have two regions of fundamental functional importance: the anti-codon, which is responsible for specific mRNA codon recognition, and the 3' end, to which the tRNAs corresponding amino acid is attached (by aminoacyl-tRNA synthetases). tRNAs cope with the degeneracy of the genetic code in two manners: having more than one tRNA (with a specific anti-codon) for a particular amino acid; and 'wobble' base-pairing, i.e. permitting non-standard base-pairing at the 3rd anti-codon position. The record is from RNAcentral. RNAcentral also lists the same sequence under 43 other names. Lineage: Bacteria; Pseudomonadati; Pseudomonadota; Betaproteobacteria; Burkholderiales; Alcaligenaceae.